Molecule: long non-coding RNA, 4406 nt
Organism: Salmo salar (Atlantic salmon)
Lineage: Eukaryota; Metazoa; Chordata; Actinopteri; Salmoniformes; Salmonidae
Product: histone-lysine N-methyltransferase SETDB1-B
Source: RefSeq, a predicted model, not a curated record
UGUAAAAGGUUUUUGAUUGCAAUGGCUUUCUUUCCAAAUAACGAGUUUCAAAUGUUUAUUUGGAUCUUCUAAGAUUAGUUAAAUACGUUUCUUUUAGAAUCUUCAAGACUACAACUACCACGAGCACUGUCGAUGUCCCUGCACAAUGGUCCCUCAUUUCAAAACAAUGCGACGAUCACAUGAAAUUGAAAACACUUCCAAUGCAUGACCUUUGUUACAAUAUAAACUACCUAGGGUGAUAUUUUAAACAGAUUGUACAGGAUGGAGGUGGAGGGCUGGGACUCUGGUCUGGAGGAGGAGCUGGGUGUGUCUCUGGAGGAGCUGAGUAAGUGGAUUGAGGAGGAGGUGGAGAGGAGCGAGGCAGUCCGCCAGAGGAAGGCCCAGCUGGCUGAGCUCAAAGAAUGGGUGGAGCAGAAAGAGAAGGAAGAGGAGGUGGUGGACAAACUCUUCAACAAUGCCAACCAGUCCAUAGUGGAGUGUGAGGCUCUGGUGAAGUCCACCUACAGUAAAAUGGGUCUGGUCUACAAGGAGAGCUCUUCAGAGGAUGAGGGGGGAGUGGGAGGGGUUCAGUCCUCUGAUGUCAUAGAAAUUGACGAUGAUGAUGACGAUGAUGAUGUCAUCGCUGUGGGCUUACUGGUUCCACCCAAGAAACCUGGGAUACCUAUUCAGGAUGCAAUGUUUAAGGAGGCGUCGGCAGCUCUCCAGCGUUCCUCCCAGCAGGUGUUGAAGCUGGCCCAGACAGUCAACAAGAACUCUUCUUCUGGGCCUGCUAUACAACAGCCAGGGGGCCCAGUGCCCAUGCCAGCGGUGUUUGUGUCCCAGGCCACGCCCAGGAACACACCCACCCAGCCUAACCCCUCCCUGAAAGAUGAUGAAAUCAGACUGGAGAUGAGUCUUCUGGGAAAGAAGCGCACCAAGACCUGGCACAGCGGAAUGCUCAUCGCCAUCAACCCUGUCGGUAACGGUUACAGUAAGUACAAGGUGAAGUUUGAGAACAAGGGGAAGAGUCUACUGUCUGGGAACCACAUAGCGUUUCACUAUCACCCCACUCUGGAGAGGCUAUACGUGGGAGCCAGGGUGGUCGCCAAGUACAAGGACGGCAACCAGGUCUGGCUCUACGCUGGCAUCGUGGCAGAGAUGCCCAACAACAAGAACCGCAUGAGGUUCCUGAUCUUCUUUGACGACGGUUAUGCCUCCUACGUGACCCUGCCUGAGCUCUACCCUGUCUGCAGACCAAUGAAGCGUACAUGGGAGGACAUAGAGGAUGCAUCGUGUAAAGACUUCAUAGAGGAGUAUAUAACGUCAUACCCCAACAGGCCCAUGGUGCUGCUGAAGGCAGGCCAGGUCAUCAAGACAGAGUGGGAGGGGACGUGGUGGAGGAGCAGAGUGGAGGAGGUGGACGGCAGCCUCGUCAAGAUCCUCUUCCUGGAUGACAAGCGUAGUGAGUGGAUCUAUCGUGGUUCAACUAGGCUGGAGCCCAUGUUCAACCUGAAGACCAACUGUGCCAACACCCAGGAGAAGAAGAUGGCUGGCCAGCAGAGGACGCGCCCCAGCAUGGGAGCAUUGAGGACCAAGGGCCCCGUGGUCCAGUAUCACAGUGGGGGGAACACCACAACCCCCAGCGGGACCCCCACUAAAUCCCCCCAUCCCCUCUCCCCACCCUCCUCCAUCCCUCCUACACCCUCCCAGCUCAAUCAGCCUGCACGAACAGAUCCUAAGUAUCAGAUGGCUAAGAAGAGUACUUCUCCAUACAUUCCCACGCCAGGAGGCUCUCGCACUGGAUUGGCCAGUAAUAGCCACACCCCUAAAGCCAUGCAGCCCCAACCUUCAACUGGUUCUCCCGGGAACUCAUCCAGAAUGUAUGUCCUUCAGACUGGCAACAUCCAGACUCUCACGUCCCUACAGCCUAUCCAACACCAGCAGCAGUCUCUGCCCCCUCCUCCCCAAGCCCCUCCCACCGCACCUGCAGUGACCCCAUACACCAUCAGUAACGACCGGAUUCCCCACGAGCCCUCGUACCGCGCCCCCACAGACCGCAUCUUCUACCUGCCUCACACCUGCCAGCCUGCUUGUCUCAACCGUAUCCGGCCCUCCAGACCAGAUAUGCACCGGGGCAGGAACCCCCUGCUCACCCCUCUACUGUACGAGUUCAGACGCAUGACGGGGCGACGGAGAGUCAACCGCAAGAUGUCGUUCCAUGUGAUCUACAAGUCUCCUUGUGGGCUGUGUCUGCGCAGCAUGGCGGAGAUCCAGCGCUACCUGUUCCAGACGCGCUGUGACUUCAUCUUCCUGGAGAUGUUCUGCUUGGACCCCUAUGUCCUGGUCGACCGGCGCUUCCAGCCCCAGAAGCCUUACUACUACAUUCGAGACAUCACCAACGGCCGCGAGGACAUUCCCCUGUCCUGCGUCAACGAGAUCGACAUCACACCGCCCCCCGACGUGGCCUACAGUAAGGAGCGUAUCCCUGAAGACGGAGUGUUCAUCAACACCAGUCCAGACUUCCUGGUGGGCUGUGACUGUACCGACGGCUGCAGGGACAAGUCCAAGUGUUCGUGUCACCAGCUGACCCUGCAGGCCACCGCCUGUACCCCUGGUGCACAGAUCAACCACACGGCUGGAUACACACAAAAGAGACUGGAGGAGUGUUUGCCCACCGGGAUUUAUGAGUGUAAUAAGCGUUGUAAGUGCUGCAGUCAGAUGUGUACUAACCGUCUGGUGCAGCACGGUCUGCAGGUGAGGCUGCAGCUCUUUAAGACCCAGAACAAAGGCUGGGGCAUCCGCUGUCUGGACGACGUGGCCAAGGGAUCCUUCGUCUGUAUCUACGCCGGUAAGAUUCUGACAGAUGACUUUGCUGACAAGGAGGGUCUGGAGAUGGGUGAUGAGUACUUUGCUAACCUGGACCACAUAGAGAGUGUGGAGAACUUCAAGGAAGGGUAUGAGAGUGAGGCCCACUGUUCAGACAGUGACGGGAGCGGGGUGGACAUGUCCAGGCUGAAGAACCCCCCCUCGUCCUCCCUGGCUUUGCAGAACAAGAGCCUUCCCAAACCCCCCCAGAGAACCAAUGCUGCCAACCCCGCUGGCAAAGCGCGGGGUGCUGGUGGCGACUCCUCUAAGGAUGGGGAUAGUGAUGAAGAGUCGAACAACGACAAAAGUUCAGACGACACGUUUGUGAAGGACCCCUACUACAGCUCCAGCUCUGUGUGGAGGAGCUACACCACCCGUCGCCAGGCCAAGGGCGUUAAGGAAGGGAGCCAGGACAGUAAGGAUGGUGUGUCAGUGGGGGGAAAGGAGGACAGGAAGCCGCCCCCCAUGCCAGAGGAGAGUGGGAAGAGUAAAGUAGCGUCCUGGCUCACCAACCAACCCUCUACCUCCCAGGCCACCGUUAAGAUGGAGGGACUGAAGAUAGAGAAGAAGGAGCCCGGAGACCAGAAAAGUCAACAAUCAGUGAAGACGGAGGGAGGGAAGAGACAGGAUGUGAUGACGCUGUCGGACAGUGAUGACGUCCAGACCAUCAGCUCUGGAUCUGAUGACAACAAGGAGAGAGAGAAACGCACACAGGGUGAAGAUGGGGGAGGUGCGGUGAAGAGGCAGGUGGCUGUGAAGUCCACACGAGGCAUUGCUCUGAAGAACUCCCAUGGCCUGAUGGUGAAGACUGGAGGGGCUGGGAUAGGGCCAGGGGGAGGCCCGGGGGGGCACGGAGGGGCACAGGGUAAGGGUGGGGACGGGGGAGACAGUGGACCUAAAAACACACGGCUGUUCUUCGAUGGCGAGGAGUCCUGCUACAUCAUCGACGCCAAGCUGGAGGGCAACCUGGGACGCUACCUCAACCAUAGCUGCAGUGCUAACCUGUUUGUCCAGAAUGUGUUUGUAGACACACAUGAUCUGCGUUUCCCCUGGGUAGCCUUCUUCGCCAGCAAGCGUAUCCGGGCGGGGACAGAGUUAACGUGGGACUAUAACUACGAGGUUGGCAGUGUGGAGGGGAAGGAGCUACUGUGCUGCUGUGGCUCAACAGAGUGCAGAGGAAGACUGCUAUAAGAGACCACCCUCUAUACCUCCAUCUCAUCCCUCAAUUUCUUCAUCUUAUCUCGGAGUGCAGAGGGAGUUCUGCUGGAAGAGACCUCUCUAACUCCGUCUCCUCUCUGAGUGUAGAAGAUGCCUGCUGUAAGGACACUAUGUUAACCUCCCUUACUAUGUCAUUAGAGAAGAUGGGACACCUGCACCAACGAGUCUGUCCACGUUUCUCUCUUGUUCCUCCCCCUCUCUUUUUUCUGAAUUGUUUGUCUGCCUAUUGCUGACAUUGUAAUUCUUUACUGUUUUGUCUGUAUGCCCAGUUGUAUUUGACUGUCUGUGAAUUCAGACCAAACUGUGCUCUUCUCACAACUGAAUAAAAUCCUGUUUUCCACACA